Molecule: ribosomal RNA, 253 nt
Filed under: uncultured bacterium
Lineage: Bacteria
Description: partial 16S ribosomal RNA
Rfam family: Bacterial small subunit ribosomal RNA
Source: RNAcentral
UACGUAGGGUGCAAGCGUUAAUCGGAAUUACUGGGCGUAAAGCGUGCGCAGGCGGUUAUGUAGGACAGAUGUGAAAUGCCCGGGCUUAACCUGGGAACUGCAUUUGUGACUGCAUGGCUAGAGUUUGGCAGAGGGGGGUAGAAUUCCACGUGUAGCAGUGAAAUGCGUAGAUAUGUGGAGGAACACCGAUGGCGAAGGCAGCCCCCUGGGCUGAGAUUGACGCUCAGGCACGAAAGCGUGGGGAGCAAACAGG